GUUAAGGUGGCAGAAUAGUGCUCUAAAUUUAAGCUUUAGGAAUGAAUAAGUUUCUCUUAAUA
This 62-nucleotide transfer RNA is filed under the name Chaetoderma nitidulum. RNAcentral describes it as "tRNA-Leu". Lineage: Eukaryota; Metazoa; Mollusca; Caudofoveata; Chaetodermatida; Chaetodermatidae. The record is from RNAcentral.